AUGGAUAAUGAUCUAAUGUGGAUUUUCAUUAUGUCUAUUUUUCAAGGUGUCAAAGGCGAGAUUCAGUUAGUGGCAUCUGGGGGAGAAGUAAGACAGUCUGGGACAUCUCUGCACCUCUCCUGUAAAGCCUCUGGAUUCUCAUUUAGUAGUUAUGACAUGAACUGGGUCCGGCAGCCUGCAGGGAAGGGACCAGAGUGGAUCUCAGGAAUUGAUACCAAUGGAGAUCGUAAAAAUUAUUUGGACUCCAUAAAAGGUCGAUUCACUAUUUCUAGGGACAAUCUGAAUAGCAUUUUAUUCUUGCAAAUGAAUGACUUGAAAGUUGAGGACACAGCUGUGUAUUACUGUGUGAGAACUGCUGCAGAACCCAUUGCUUUUGAAGAUAUAAUUCCAACAGCACACAGUGUUUGA
Molecule: non-coding RNA, 408 nt
Organism: Monodelphis domestica (gray short-tailed opossum)
Lineage: Eukaryota; Metazoa; Chordata; Mammalia; Didelphimorphia; Didelphidae
Source: the annotation of a RefSeq genome assembly